Molecule: ribosomal RNA, 373 nt
Filed under: uncultured bacterium
Lineage: Bacteria
Description: bacterial SSU rRNA
Rfam family: Bacterial small subunit ribosomal RNA
Source: RNAcentral
GGAGGGGGCGAGCGUUAUUCGGAAUUAUUGGGCGUAAAGGGCGCGUAGGCGGCCUGGUAAGUCAAAGGUGAAAUCCCUCGGCUCAACUGAGGAAUUGCCUUUGAAACUGCUGGGCUUGAGUCCGGGAGGGGGUAGCGGAAUUCCCAGUGUAGCGGUGAAAUGCGUAGAUACUGGGAGGAACACCAGUGGCGAAGGCGGCUACCUGGACCGGAACUGACGCUGAUGCGCGAAAGCGUGGGGAGCAAACAGGAUUAGAUACCCUGGUAGUCCACGCUGUAAACGAUGGGUGCUCGGUGUCGCGGGUAUCGACCCCUGCGGUGCCUUAGCUAACGCGUUAAGCACCCCGCCUGGGGAGUACGGUCGCAAGGCUGAA